Non-coding RNA from Cinara cedri, 510 nucleotides. The record is from the annotation of a GenBank genome assembly. NCBI's taxonomy places the organism in Eukaryota, Metazoa, Arthropoda, Insecta, Hemiptera, Aphididae.
CUGCAUUAAAUCUAUUACGUAUCAGCGUAAAAUUAGUAACAAUCAUUAGUGUACCAAUAGAUUACAAUAAUAUGGUCGUAUAUUCUGUGGUAUAACGGUAACAGAAUAUACAACAUCAGUUAUCACGAUAUAAAUAUACAAUAAUAUGAUAAGACCGAAUAAGGAGGUAUGGGAUUAAAAUGUCACCGAUCGCUCCAACCAAAAUCAUGCGUUUGAUAGGCACACCCAUUGUGAAACAUAACAAAGUGCGACUUUGUGAUACGUCGAAAAUAUCAUGACCGUAACUGGCAAUGGCUUUAUACGGUAACCAGCACCAGAUCCGGUGAUAAAUAUCACUGCCAGCUGAGAUUUCUGUCCGUGGCGAAAUUUCAUUAUUUAAAUUGGUGCGCAUACGAAGACGCAGUUCACAAUCGGUAUACAACGCCGUAACGCCAUUAUGGUCCAUCAAUAUAGUUAAACAUUUAAAAGUAUUAUAUUCUAUUUUUAUUAUACCAUAUAUAAUAGAACCCC